UGGGGAGUACGGCCGCAAGGUUAAAACUCAAAUGAAUUGACGGGGGCCCGCACAAGCGGUGGAGCAUGUGGUUUAAUUCGAUGCAACGCGAAGAACCUUACCUACUCUUGACAUCCAGAGAAUUCGCUAGAGAUAGCUUAGUGCCUUCGGGAACUCUGAGACAGGUGCUGCAUGGCUGUCGUCAGCUCGUGUUGUGAAAUGUUGGGUUAAGUCCCGCAACGAGCGCAACCCUUAUCCUUUGUUGCCAGCACGUAAUGGUGGGAACUCAAAGGAGACUGCCGGUGAUAAACCGGAGGAAGGUGGGGAUGACGUCAAGUCAUCAUGGCCCUUACGAGUAGGGCUACACACGUGCUACAAUGGCAUAUACAAAGAGAAGCGAACUCGCGAGAGCAAGCGGACCUCAUAAAGUAUGUCGUAGUCCGGAUUGGAGUCUGCAACUCGACUCCAUGAAGUCGGAAUCGCUAGUAAUCGUAGAUCAGAAUGCUACGGUGAAUACGUUCCCGGGCCUUGUACACACCGCCCGUCACACCAUGGGAGUGGGUUGCAAAAGAAGUAGGUAGCUUAACCUUCGGGAGGG
RNAcentral lists this ribosomal RNA (577 nucleotides) under uncultured bacterium. RNAcentral describes it as "bacterial SSU rRNA". It matches the Rfam family "Bacterial small subunit ribosomal RNA", at positions 874 to 1450 of the family's 1533-position model. The record is from RNAcentral.